RNAcentral lists this ribosomal RNA (693 nucleotides) under uncultured crenarchaeote. Its description in RNAcentral is "bacterial SSU rRNA". It matches the Rfam family "Archaeal small subunit ribosomal RNA", at positions 583 to 1283 of the family's 1478-position model. The record is from RNAcentral. Lineage: Archaea; Thermoproteati; Thermoproteota.
ACUGUCCGGCUUGGGGGCGAGAGAGGCCGAUGGUAUCCCGGGGUAGGGGUGAAAUCCUAUAAUCCCGGGAGGACCACCAGUGGCGAAGGCUGUCGGCUAGAACGCGCCCGACGGUGAGGGAUGAAAGCUGGGGGAGCGAACCGGAUUAGAUACCCGGGUAGUCCCAGCUGUAAACCAUGCAGGCUAGGUGUUAGGGCGGCUACGUGCCGCUCUAGUGCCGCAGGGAAGCUGUUAAGCCUGCCGCCUGGGGAGUACGGCCGCAAGGCUGAAACUUAAAGGAAUUGGCGGGGGAGCACCACAAGGGGUGAAGCUUGCGGUUUAAUUGGAGUCAACGCCGGAAAUCUCACCGGGAGCGACAGCAGAAUGAAGGCCAGAUUAAAGGUCUUGCCAGACAAGCUGAGAGGAGGUGCAUGGCCGUCGCCAGUUCGUGCCGUGAGGUGUCCUGUUAAGUCAGGCAACGAUCGAGACCCGCGUCCUCUGUUGCCACUGGUCUUGAGCCAGGCACACUGGGGAAACUGCCGCCGAUAAGGCGGAGGAAGGAGCGGGCCACGGCAGGUCAGUAUGCCCCGAACCUCCCGGGCCACACGCGAGCUGCAAUGGCAGGUACAAUGGGUUCCAACCCCGAAAGGGGGAGGCAAUCUCUAAAGCCUGCCGUAGUUGGGAUUGAGGGCUGAAACUCGCCCUCGCGAACAU